AUUGAACGCUGGCGGAAUGCUUUACACAUGCAAGUCGAACGGCAGCACGGGUGCAACCCUGGUGGCGAGUGGCGAACGGGUGAGUAAUACAUCGGAACGUGCCCGGUCGUGUGGGAUAACGUAGCGAAAGUUACGCUAAUACCGCAUACGAUCUGAGGAUGAAAGCGGUGGACCUUCGGGCCUCGCGCGAUCUGAGCUGCCGAUGUCAGAUUAGGUAGUUGGUUGGGUAAAGGCCUACCAAGCCGACGAUCUGUAGCUGGUAUGAGAGGACGACCAGCCACACUGGGACUGAGACACGGAACAGAAGACUAAGGGAGGCAGCAGUGGGGAAUUUUGGACAAUGGGCGCAAGCCUGAUCCAGCCAUACCGCGUGAAGGAAGAAGGCCUUCGGGUUGUAAACUGCUUUUGUAUGGAAGGAAAAGGCUAUGGAUAAUAGCUGGAGAUAAUGACGGUACCGUAAGAAUAAGCACCGGCUAACUACGUG
RNAcentral lists this ribosomal RNA (484 nucleotides) under uncultured bacterium. RNAcentral's name for it is "partial 16S ribosomal RNA". It matches the Rfam family "Bacterial small subunit ribosomal RNA", at positions 30 to 507 of the family's 1533-position model. The record is from RNAcentral.